GGAGUCGUCGCGCCUCGGCUGCGAGUCAGGACUGAGGCUGUCCCCCUCCCGCCUCCCUCAGGGGCCCUGGCGCGGGUGCCUCCAGGUUCCACCCCUCACCUGCCCCUUGGUGUCGGGCCGGGACCCUGGAGAGGUCGUGAGGGAGUCCUGGGCGCGGGCUCCGGGAGGCUGCGGCGCGGGUCUGAGGUAAACGGCCCGGCCGCUGCGGGCCCUUGCGGGGGCUGGUUCCAGCAGCAACCGCCGGGCAGGGCCCCUCCCGACCGCGACCUCCUGUCCGCACCGUAGGGCAGCCGGCCGGGCCAGCCUCCCUCACAGGACUACCGAGGAAGAGGUAGGAUUUCACUCUGUCACCCAGGCGGGAGUGCAGUGGUGCGAUCAUAGCGGGGACUACAAGUGUGCACCACAUGCUUGUCUACGAACCUGAAGUAUUCUGAUGCAGUGGAGAGAGUGUAGAACUCUGGAGUGAAGAGAUCUGCCUGGAACCCUGACUCUAUCACUAGGAGAUUCCUUGGAAUGAAACCAAUGGGAGUCCAGGGUUUGGGAGAGUCUCAUCAGAGCAGAUGGGCGAGCAGCAGCCAGAACGCUUGUUGCCUUUGGCUGAGAACACUAUCCUGGAUCUGAAUGUCUUCUUUGUCACUCCAAGAGAUGGCCCUGGGACUGAGAAGUGGAUGGCAGCUGUGACAGCAGGAGAGGACUGCCUGAGGCUCCCCGGGCAGAGGCUCUGGUGCCAGGUUAGCAGCAGGACCGACGGCAGACCCAGCAGCCAGAGAGUGAAAGGUGGGUAAAUUGAGGCCCAAGGAGAGGAAUGGACUUGCUGUGGACAUUCCAAGAGCCCAGAGGCAACUCAGGCCAAGGCGAGUCUGUCUGUUCUGAAUCUCUUAGGUCAGUUCUGAAUCCAAACAGUAACCGGACAAGCCCAUUCUCAGGAGCUCCUCAGCUCCAUUCCGUGGGGGCUUGGUUACCUGUAACAGGGCCUCAACAGGAGGGUCAUAGACUUGCCCAUUGCUUCCAAGCAACAGGGAGUUGGCAUUGCCCUGCCUCCUGUGGGACUCGCAAACAUAAAAUCUCAGGCUCUCUCAUUCUCACAUCUACAUUACAUAGCACUGACUCUGUGCCGGACACUGUUCUUAGUGCUUUGCAAAUAGUAAUUUAUAUAGUCCUCAUUGACUGGGAAGCUAUAUUAAUUUUGACAUUAUUCCUGAGAAAAGCAUAUCCCUUCCUGGGUUCUGGCCCUGUUAACAGGAAUGUUUUAAAACUUUGUCUCUCUGAGCCUCAGUUUCUUCAUUUGUAAAAUGGGACCAAGUCGUGGACCUGUCAGCACUCUGCCCUCUAAGGGCAGAAUGGAGAAUCAGUGGGUGGAAAUUAUAGGGAGGCAGAUUGUAACUCAGGGUAGGUUAAGAGUUUUUCAGCUGAGCUGUUCACAGGAGAGAUGGCCUGCCUCAGGCAAUAGUGAGUUUCCUGUCAUUUGAGGCAACAGAGCAGAGCCAAGCAGCCACAGGGGUGUUGCAGAGCUGCCUGGGCCCUGGGCCACCUGCUUUGCUGGUUUUCAAACUGUUCUCAGCAGCAAACCUUGUCGCCCACAUUCCCAGGCAGUCACAGAGGUGAAGCUGCUGGGGAAGGGAAGGGGCUUAUUAAAUGUUUAUUGAAUCAGUGAAUUGGUGGGGACACCAGAGCCAACCCGAAGGCUUCUGGGAACACAGUAUGGAAAUCCCUGGUCUGUCCAAUUGUUGACUUGUACAGAAAAGGGAACCCACAAGGGGAGUCUUCCACCGUACUCUGCAAAGAAAGUCCCGUGUGGGGACAGAAACAAAACAUACAUUAAUAGCACUUGCUUAUAUAUGCAAAGAAUAUCUCUGGAAGGAUUCUUAACAUGGCCUUGCAGGCAGGGAACUGAGGGUGGGGGACAGGGGGUAUGGAGGACAACUUUCUACUAUACUAUACUCUUUUGUUCCUUUUUAAUGUUUUAGAGUGGGCAAAACAUGACUUUUUUUUUUCUUAAAUUGCAAAUAGACUAAGUUUAUUCAAAAGAAAUCUCCAUAGGCUGAGAGCCCUGGACCCUGGUGCCCACGGGGUGGGGACAGCAUCAGGGCCCAAAUGGAAUCACAGCUGAGCCUCAGCCAGGCCCAGCAGCAUAUCCUGGGCUGCAUCUGUGACCAACACACUCACAUCUUGCCGUCUUAGACCCCAAACAUUGACCAUCCAGCUGGAAGGGAUGCCAAGGCUGUCUAGCGUGACACACCACCACUCUGGGGUGCCCAGGCAUGUCAGAGAAUGUGGGUCCCAGAGCUGCUGCCCACCCUUUGUGGAGGUGCCCUCUGCAGCUCUGUGUCCCCCGGCUUGCAGGCUGCCCCUUUCUGGGGAUCUCCAUUACCCACACUGGGGGCUCACCCUAUGGUCCAAGAAUAUGCCCCAUGAUUCCAGCUGGGGCUUUAUGUGCACAUGUCCCAACCUGAGGAGUAGGUGGAGCCUUCCUAAGUUGUCCAAAGGAGUCAUUGAUCCAAGAAUUGAAGAGCCAUGGACCCACAGGGAAACCUCCAUUCCUUCCCCUGGUACGAACAGGCCUGACUUGGCCUCCACCUUUCCUGCCCACUCUGUUCAUCUCUCUCUGUCACUAGGCAGCCAGGCCACCCUUCCCUACCCAGUGCUCACAUGCUCAUUCCUUCCUCAGGGUCUUGUCCCAGGCUUUGCCCCCCUCCUGACACACCUGCCCCCACACUCAUGCCAGUGAGACCCUGCCUGCCCGUCCUGCAAGACCCACUGGGUGACACCUCCUCCAGGGAGCCCUCUCUCCCAAUCCUGCCCUCUUAGAAGUGUUAGGACUUCGGGCCUCACCACCAGCUGCCACCUGCACCUUGGCCUGUUCCUCAAACCAGCGAGAACAUCCACCAAGGGCUGCUGUGAGAGCCAGGGAGGGGACAGUGAGGCAAAAAUCCCCUGGGAACUGGAAAAAGAAGCCUGUGUCUCUCACCCUGAAUUCCCUAUCCUCUGGGAACACAGAGAGCUACAUCUCUGCCUCUGGCCUGAAGUCUUUCUCACAGAGUUCCUCGACUAGGCCCUGUGCUAGCCCAACAGGUUCCCUGAACUUGGAAAAUAACAGAUUUUUCCAAAACUGAGUUCUUUUUUUUAAAAAAAAAGUUAAUGGAGAGUGGGGCAGGCCUGAGGCUAGACCCAGGGCUAGCCGAAUGGACCUUUCUGAGUGGAGCAGGAAACGGCACGUAGAGGAGGCUGGAUUCCCAGCUGAGAAAGGAGGAGGGAGGAUCCUGAGGCAGGCUGUGACUCCAGCGCCGGCCAGGAGUGUCACCAAGUUCCUUUCAUACCCCGCUUGCUCUCGGGAGCCCACAUGGACACCUCCACAUGCCCAGAGGCCCAGGGGCCCUGAGGAACAGGAAAGCGAAGGGACCUGCGGGCCAGGAACAGCCUGAAGGGCCCUGGAGUCCAUCCACAUCAGGAGACACUCGUAUGUCCUUCCCUGCUCUGGCCUCCCCAUGAGUUUGUGAGUAACAGGAGGGUCAGAACAUCCGCCUGGCCACAAUGCAGGCCAAGAGGAUGACAGGAGAUGCUGAGCUGACAUCCUUUGGCAACUGCAAAGCUCUCUGCCCUCAAGGGAGGAUGAACAUCAUCGUCGUCAUCCUCUCCAGGGCCCCCUGCAGAAGAGACCAGCCUAAGCCUUGCAGAGCCUCAUGGAGCAGAGUCAAAUGGCUCAAGGUCUGGGUGGAACUAAGGUCCAGCUCCAAGGAAGUUGGGAUGAGAUGGGUAGAGGAUAGGGGGCAGGUCCAUGGCUCUGAACCCAAAGAUCUGAAUCCCCACCCUCCCCACGCCUCCAACCCUCCUCAGGGUCCCUGUCACCCCAUCCACUCACUGGACCUUCAGAACACCUUUGUGAGCUCAGAGGGGCAGAGAGACUUGUCCUAUUUUAUGGAUGAGGAAAUGGGCCCAGAGAGAGGCAGCUAACUUUCCAUAGCCACACAGCACAUCCUGUCCUACUACAUAGGGAGUCAUUCUCUCAACUCUCAGAAAACAGAGAAGGAAAGGGAGAGACAAAAGAGAAAAAAAGUCGAGCUCCUUUAAAUUGAGAACGGCAGCCCUGAUCAUACCCUUUGAAUCAGAGAAAAAAGUGAGAGCUUGGCCUCUGCUUCCCCAUAGAGCAUCCCAUCAGUGUGCAGACUCAGCUUGGUUCCCUGAAGUCCCCUCCAGUGCUUUGUUCUCUGGCCCACCUGGGCACCUGCAGACAGGGCCCCUCCUGGGCCUCCGUGUUCUGAGCUGCCACUGGACGAACCUAAACUCUGCUCUGCCCGUCGCAGAGCAAUGGAUGGAGGCUCACCAGAGACUGCACUUGGAGUCCGACAAUCCCUAAUUCCACCCCUCUCAGGGCUGGCCAGGGUCCCCUUCUCCUUUGCCGAGGGUUCUAGACUCUCCUGGGAUAGAGAGCAUCUGACAGGGCAGUGUGAGGUCCAGAUUCCUCCCCUUCCCUGGAGCAGCCCAGUGCAGCUCCUGCUCCCACUUAGAGCCCAGGUGACAGGGACAGCCACCUGGUGCAGGCUCUGCGAGACAGGCUGCUCAUGACCGCUCCCCAGUGACUGAAGUCACAGUGGGGAUCAGGCCACAUUUCUUUCCAGGACUCGCCCCAGCUCCACUACCAACUCGUUGUGUGGCCCGGAAACAGCUGGCUGUCUUCUCUGAGGCUCAUUUUCCAUCCCGAAGAUGAGAGGAAAUGACCUCUAAGGGCCCCUUGGCUUUGACGCUCUAAAUUUCCAUUUGCUCAUCUAGCUGGGUCCUCCUUCCUGCUGGGGCACCCUCAACCUGCUGUGGCUUCCUCUUUAGAUAGGCACCCACCAGUUUCAGAUAAUUCACCGCAGAGAUGGUGCACCCUGCUCCCUGACUCUCAAGAGGCACCACCUCAAGCCUCAUACAUGGCCUCAGGGCCCACAACCACCCAGGCUGUGGAACCCAGCUCUGUGGCAGAGGGGCCAGGAGGUGGGGCAGAAGGCCUCUGACGUCCCCAAGGGAGGGAUGCACUUUCUAGCCUCAUCUAUGGCCUGGGUAGGUGGAAUCCAUGCCGAGUAAUUCAGCCUCUGGGAAAAUCUUCAUUUGCACAAUUACUUGGCUGAAGUCACUUCACAAAAGAUUCACCAUAAAAAUCCCCUCCAACAGCCAGCCCCUGAGCACACUGGCUGCCUCUAAGACGAUGAGUCCUUGGUGACUUGAGGAGCAACAGAAUUUGCAUAUAGGUCCAAGUGACUCACUGUGGCAUUCAACCAAGUCACUUCCCCUCUCUGGGUCAUUUUCCUAAUGUGCACACUGCAAGGCUGGCCCAGAGGAUCUGGGGGAAGGCAGGUGGCGGGCGGCUCCUAACUCUGAGGUCCUAUGGUUUCCCCUGGCUCCCCACUCCACCCCAGCAUCAUCCGGGAAGUUUUGCUUGUGUGUGAGGAAUGGCCCAGACACACCCGCUGGCAGCACGUGGGUCACUGGGACCACAGCUCCCUGCUAAGCCCAAUGCCAGACCCUGGCCACACUCAUCUGCCAAAAAGCAGAGCACAGUUGGCCUCAGGCAGCCUAGGGGAACCCAGGCCGCCUGGGAGGGCCAGGCUGCCCUGCGCCCAUAGGGGUCAGUCAGUUCGGCAUGACUGCUGGCCACGUGCUGGCCCUGGGGAGCCCCUGCUGAGCCUGGGGCCCCGUCGCCAGCUCACCAUGCUGACACUGCAGACCAGGCCCUGAUCCCAGGCUCACCCUGGCUCCGGGCACAGACCAAAGCCUGGGCACCAACAGCCUUUGCACAGAUGUAACCCCGGCCCUGCUCACCGGAGCGGGAUGCGGAUGGCAAUGUAGCGG
RNAcentral lists this long non-coding RNA (5829 nucleotides) under Homo sapiens (human). Its description in RNAcentral is "non-protein coding ADORA2A-AS1:12". The record is from RNAcentral. Lineage: Eukaryota; Metazoa; Chordata; Mammalia; Primates; Hominidae.